Long non-coding RNA from Amphimedon queenslandica, 324 nucleotides. RefSeq lists it as uncharacterized. The record is from RefSeq and is a predicted model, not a curated record. The transcript is spliced from 3 exons. NCBI's taxonomy places the organism in Eukaryota, Metazoa, Porifera, Demospongiae, Haplosclerida, Niphatidae.
UAGAAGUAAAAGUAUCACAAGGAAGAUCAUAAUCAUUAGUCUCUAACUCUGUGAAAUCAACUGACACUAGAUCUGGCUCAUCUAUAGAAAUUUCAGGAGGCAAGAAAGAAAGGAGAGAUGCUUGACGCUUGGUUGCCAUUGCAAGAAAUGAUUACAAAAUUAACAUUCAAAAUAUUCAUGAAAAGGUGGGCAUUGCCCCUUAAUGCCCACCCCUGGAACCGCCUAUGUCUCUAGCCCCCCCUAGAUCUGCCCCUGAAUACAUCUAAUUAUUACAGUGAAACUUUGACUUCGUUAAUGAACCAGGUGGUCAAACACAGGGAAAGA